Molecule: ribosomal RNA, 1348 nt
Filed under: Triticum aestivum (bread wheat)
Lineage: Eukaryota; Viridiplantae; Streptophyta; Magnoliopsida; Poales; Poaceae
Description: partial small subunit ribosomal RNA
Source: RNAcentral
GAAGAACGGGCGGCGGUAAGAGCGGCCACGCUGCCGUCGUCGUCGCCUUCCUCCUCGAUUCCUCGUCGUGCUUGCUCGCGAUCCAUUCUACAGGGAGGCGAAACCCUCUGCGCGCCAUGGGCGACCACUACGGUACGCUCGGGGUGCGGCCCGACGCUACCAAGGCCGAGGUCAAGGCCGCCUUCCGCCGCCGCGCCCUGCGCGACCACCCCGACCGCCACGCUCAAUCCGGCGACGCCGGUGCCCGAGCCGAAGCCGCGCGGCGCUUCCGCCAGGCCUCUGACGCCUACCACGUCCUCUCCGACGACCGAAGGAGGGCCGAGUACGACCUCCGUCUCCGCUCUUCCUCCUAUGUCCGCACAUCCUCCUCCACCUGGGCCUCCUCCUCGGGUUCGCACGGCUACGGCUACGGGCACAGAGAAAGUUCUUGGCGGCGGCCGCCUCCGGGAGGCGGAGGCGCAUCGGUGGGAUACGAUUGGGGCUUGUUGCUGAAGGCGAUGACGCGGCGAAGGUUCCUUCUCAAUCUCGGCUUCUCCAGAAAUCAUUUGAAGAAGCAAUGGAGUCGAUUGAGAAGGUAAAAGGGGGAAAGGGGAAUAGGUAGAGAAGUAGGUAAGUUCCAUCAAAUUGUGGUACACUGGUACAUAGACAAACGAGUGUGCAUGUUGUUGUUCAGAUACUUCUGUACAGUCGGAAUAAUAUUUGUGACAAAGUGACAACUGAUUACCUGAUCAGCGUAGCUGUGGAUGAUUGUGAUGUGCAUCUAUGCCUAAGGUUCUUCCAGUGCAAAGAUUCAAACAAGUUGUCUUUUAACCUCCUCUAAUCAUGUUUUGUUUCCUCAGAAUCUGCAAGUAAUUGCAUUGUGUAGUGUAAUGGUACAGACCGAAUUUGGACCGCCGAUCGUCUGGAGAAGCGUGGUUGGGUCAAUUGUGGUCUUUGUCCACUAUGCAACAGAGAGCAAGAAACGGGGCCACACCUCUUCUUCAAGUGUCGUUACACUCUUAGGCUUUGGAGAUCUAUCAUUGAGAAGCUUGGGCUACAUCACGUCAACAUUCCCGAUUGGCAUCUUGAUGAAUCCGUCAAGGAGUGGUGGGUCAAGCGUACCGAUGACCGAAACCCGAAUUGGCAUGCCAUGUCCUCUCUCGUCAUGCUCACCUCUUGGACCAUUUGGAACGAGCGAAAUGCUAGGGUAUUUCGGCAAAAAUCUGCGCCACCGCCUAUUCUCCUCCAAACCAUCAUUGGUGAGGCAAAGUUAUGGGUUACUGCCGGCGCCAAGAAGCUAGGGACUAUCAUUGUGUGUGAGUAAUUGUCAUGUCGCUUGUAUGGGGUGUCCUGUAAAAAUCUAAACUCU